RNAcentral lists this unclassified non-coding RNA (3223 nucleotides) under Lucilia cuprina (Australian sheep blowfly). Its description in RNAcentral is "uDP-glycosyltransferase UGT5, transcript variant X1". Lineage: Eukaryota; Metazoa; Arthropoda; Insecta; Diptera; Calliphoridae. The record is from RNAcentral.
UAAACUAAAAAAAAAAUCAUUAUUACAUUUUGCAAAAAAAUAUAUAAUAAUUAAACAAAUUAACAUAGUUUUCCUAUACACAACAUUAUGUAAAACAAGUGUGAAUUCAAAUAAUAAAAAAAAUAAAAAACUUUUGCUUUUAAUAACUCUGAAACGCAAAAAACAAACAGGAUUAACUUCUAGGGAGGGGAUGGCAAAAACCAGACUAUCAACUUGAAAAAGCAGCAGUAGCACACCUACAUAUCAACAUAAUAAUUUUGUCAUACCCAAAGGAAUGUCGAAACAAUAAAAAGAACAACAAAACGACGGCAUUAAAAUGACCAAGAUUUUUACAUUAUGGACAAUACAGGUUUUAUAUCUCUUACUAGCAACCCCCACCUGGCUUUGUCAGGGUGCUCAUAUAUUGGCUGUAAUGCCUAGUGUUUGGAAAUCCCAUUAUCUAUUUGGUCAUUAUAUACUAACGCAAUUAGUGGAGCAGCAUAAUCAUACAGUGACCUUAAUAAGUCCCUAUGAAAUGGAUAACUUGACAAGGGGUAACAUGACCAAAGAAAAAUUUCGUGAAAUAAAAGUAGAGGGUUUGCUAAACAAUUGGCUGGAAAUGGGUUUGUCAUUCGAUUUGCAAGAAAUGCAUGAUAAAUCUGUUAUGGAACAUUUUACACGUCUAAUGUAUGCCACCACCAGUAAUACCGAUAAUUUGUUGCAGAAUUCACAAGUAAGGGAAAUGCUGCAGUCACCACAAAAGUUCGAUUUACUUAUAGUUGAUUUAUUUUUAAGUGAUGCCUUAUUGGGUUUGUCUUUCUACUAUCAAAUACCCACUAUGGUGUUAAGUCCCAGUGGCUCGAAUACCUGGUUAAAUCAACGUUUUGGCAAUCCUCAAAAUGCUGCCUUGGAUCCUAGUAAUUUUUUGCCUUAUGCCAAAGACAUGACUUUUUGGCAGCGUUGUGUCAAUACUUUGAUGGCCAUGUUUGAAAAAUUGACCUAUUCCUUUUUCCAUAUGAUCUCACAACAGGCUGUUUAUACGAAACAUUUUGAACCACUAUGUCAACUUGCCAACUGGUGCAAAGAACUACCCCACCAUAAAGAACUGACUGAAAAUCUAUCAUUGGCCUUAAUAAAUACACAUCCAGUACUGCAAUAUCCAAGGGCAUUUCUACCCAAUAUGUUAAGUAUUGCGGGCAUACAUUUGAAAACCACUGAAGAGCAAUUAGAAUUGCCAAAUCAUAUUAGGGAAUUUAUAGAAAAAGCUAAUCAGGGAGUGAUUUACAUGAGCUUUGGUGCCAAUAUUUAUGAUUUCCCCUCGGAAAAACUACAACUAUUUUUUGAUGUUUUUGAAACACUGCCGGAUAUGCGUUUUAUAAUUAAAUACGAUGAACCAGACUCAUUACCUUUAACUUUGAAUAUAAGCAAACAAAUAUUGUUAAACAAUUGGUGGCCCCAACAGGCAAUAUUGGCCUAUAAAAACGUUAAAAUCUUUAUAACCUCCGGUGGUUUUAUGAGCAUUACCGAGGCUUUGUUUUACGAGAAAUAUAUUCUGGCCAUACCCAUUACCCCGGAACAAUGUGUGUUAACAGAAAAACUUUCCAAACAAAAUGCCGCCUAUAAGCUUAACUACAACGAUUUGGCCUAUGAUCAAUUAAUGUAUGCCAUACAACAGCUAUUACAAGACAAAUCACAAUAUCAAUCAUCUGUUUUGGAAUUAAAACAACAAUUAUUGCAAAAUCUAGACCACUUGAGUCCCUUAACAAGAACACUUAAUGCCAUAGAAAUGACUUUAGCCUCAAAUGGUUUAGAUUAUCUCAAGCCUCACUCUCACCAUUUAAAUUUUUGGAAUUCUAUACUAAUCGAUGUUAUGUUUACCUUAAUUUUGGGUCUAUUAGCGAUCUUAGCCAUUCCCUUUCUACUGACCAGUUGUAUAUUAAAACGUUCUUAUCAAAAUCAAACUAAACUAAAUUUACUCAAUCAACAACAAAAUAAUCAUCGUUAUUAUUGCAAAGUUAAUGAUUUCCUAACAUCUACCACACCACCUCGAAAUUGCGGUAAUAACAAAAAACAGCAUAAGGAGAAUACAGAAGACAAUAUGGAUGUUCUAAUGAGACCUAUGGGCAGCAAACGUAGAAAUUCUGAUGUAAAUUCUAAAAAACGAAAACGUCUAUCUUCGAAUAGUUCCUCUUCUUGUUGCAAUUGUUCGGUUUCAUCCUCCUCAGCACCCACUACUCCUUUGGCUAAAAGGGAAUCACCUUUUUUCGAUCAGGUUUCUGGGGACAACGUUAAAGACAUAUGAGAAAAUUUAUUUUUCUUAAAUUUUUAUUAGUUUUAAUAUAAUCGAUAAUAUUGUUUUAUGUGUAUGUAUGUGUUUUUUAUGAAAUACUUUUUGCAAUAAUUGUUAUUUUACACUGUAUACUCUAAUGUGUGUGUGUAUUUUCUUUAAGUACAUGGUAUUAUAAAUGUUUAAAAAUAUAUAAACAAAAUAUAAAAUAAACACUCAAAACAUCACUCUAUCUUUAUGUGUUAUACAUAUAUGAAUUUUUAACAAUUAUCUUAAGAAAACUUAGAGCAUACACAGAAAACAAAAAGAAACCUGGCACUAACAAAGACCGGGACAAAGACGCUGGCAUAAAGCUUGCAGUUGCCAAAUCAGAAACCAAUUAUACAUUUUCUACUUCUAGUUGUGUACCAACCUCCGACUCUAGUUUUAGGUGCUACAACAACAGCCGGAGAAUCCGAGUUGACGGAAAUGUGAUAAGGAUCUUUUGGCCAAACAUUAACAUGACCUCCAACUAAUAAUGUUUUUGGACAGAGAUGGUAUAAUGCAACUGUCCAACUAAAAGGGGGACUAGCAAAUGAAACGGAGGCUCUUCGGAACCGCCGGAAGCAAAUUGCAAAGACAGCUAUUGUAUGUAGCUGCAACGCCACAAAGUUAAUUGACUCACUGAUAAUAAAAACUUGCGAAAUUGCAACAAAACUUAAAUAAAUGCUUAAGAUAUGUGAUUUUUGCAAUGAAAAUCAUAAAAAAAGAAAAAAUAUUGAAAAAAAAAAUUGGAAAACCAACCCCCUGCUUCAAUAAGUAAGAAACCAUCAAUUUUACCAACAAAAUCAAAGAUUUAUCUUUUUCUUUGCUUUAUCUUUUAUAAAUUUUCCUAAUUUUAGUAAUAAUCAAUCAAUUUCAUUACUAACCUUUUUGCUUAAAUAAAUUUUGCACAAAAUUUUCACUACCGAUGUUAAA